Molecule: small RNA, 171 nt
Filed under: Gopherus agassizii (Agassiz's desert tortoise)
Lineage: Eukaryota; Metazoa; Chordata; Testudines; Testudinidae
Description: TUC338 (ENSGAGG00000010650.1)
Source: RNAcentral
UUGAGAACCCUAGAGACAGGAGUCUUUAUUUACAUGCAGAACAGACACAUCAGAGGAAGGAACAGUGCAAGCUUCCCAUGGCAAUAUGCCUCAACCCUGACUUUGGGGGACCAUCUCUAGAGAUGAGACAGGGCAAUUCAGUUCUGUGGCUCAUUAAAUCCUUGGGCUUUC